Non-coding RNA from Phascolarctos cinereus (koala), 861 nucleotides. NCBI's taxonomy places the organism in Eukaryota, Metazoa, Chordata, Mammalia, Diprotodontia, Phascolarctidae. The record is from RefSeq and is a predicted model, not a curated record.
AUUAUGUCUGGGUCUCGCUCGCUGAUUUCUCAGUACAACAUUUUGGAGGCCCCAGCGAGACAGCAGCGUACAGUGUCGAAGCAGAGACCCACCUGGAAAGGACUUUGGCCUUGGGAGGGGGGAAUUGUUCUGUUCUGACUUUUAGGGGAGCUGGCCCCUGAUGGUGUUCCAGGGCCCCAGAACUCAGGAGUAGGAGAAACCUCCCUCCCCGACUCCGACUGUACCUCAUUUCAGCCCUCGUGGACCUCGUAACCCUCCGGAGGUUGACCCUGUCAAGGAGAAAAUCAACCUCUUCAGCAGACAUUGGAGAGCGCAAUUGUAAGAGCCCAAAUGGCUCUAGGUUGGACUUCAGACGAGAAAAGUACAGCUGUCAUCUCACUGAUACUUGAAGCUUUCCCAGAUUUCCAGCUUCAAGGAGAAGGUGAAACUUGCACUGAGCCUUGAAAGAAGCUAAGGAUCUAAGAGGGAAAGGAAUCAACACCGUAUUUGUAUCAUAAAAAGAAUUUGGUAAGACUCAGAAGGAAGAAAUCUUGGUCAAGAUUUAUGCUUGAGCCGGUUCUGAAUAUUCCUCUCCUGGCCACACCAGAGGAUGGACAAUGCACACAGAACUCACUCACAGAUGCUGGAUACCCAGUCCUCACUUCCUCCUAACCAAUAAUAAUAGCUUAUAUUUAUAUAACACUUCAAGGCCUGCAAAGCACCCUGCAGAUAUUAUUUCAUCUGAUCCUCAUGAUCCUCUGAGCAUGGCUGUCUUGACAUGAAAGUGGGAAAAUGCCUUCAGAGCAGCCAAAUUGUGCCCAUGUGCAAGAGAUGAGGAUAUGUGUGUGACAUAUAAGCUGGAAUGUACAUGGAAGAUGAGAC